UUCAUUCUGUUCAACCUAUGUUCACGACAUUAGGUUAAUGCCACUCGAUCUACCCUAGGUCCACGACACUAGGUUAGAUGUCAUUCUUAUUCAUCCUAGGUUCUCGACUCUAGGUUCAUAUCCGACCUAUGUUAAUUGCACUAGGUUCGAUGCCACUCGAUCUAUCCGACACCUAAUUGUUCACAUCGAGUUUCCAUAACCAUCCACAUUAUCAACAUGCAUAUUAUACUU
RNAcentral lists this long non-coding RNA (231 nucleotides) under Ananas comosus (pineapple). RNAcentral describes it as "long non-coding RNA (ACOM_LNC019903)". Lineage: Eukaryota; Viridiplantae; Streptophyta; Magnoliopsida; Poales; Bromeliaceae. The record is from RNAcentral.